Molecule: long non-coding RNA, 371 nt
Organism: Micropterus salmoides (largemouth bass)
Lineage: Eukaryota; Metazoa; Chordata; Actinopteri; Centrarchiformes; Centrarchidae
Exons: 2
Source: RefSeq, a predicted model, not a curated record
CUGCUUGAAAGUGGAUGUGAGUUGAGCAGCAUGAGUCAGUGUGAGGACAGAGAGGAGGGAGUCCCUCCCUCUAAAAGCACUCUGUGUGGGGAACAUGACAGCCAGACCAAAGCUCAGAGCCCAGAGCAGCAGCAGGGACCAGACUCUGCUGGACCUGGACCUGGACCUGGACCUGAGCCCAGCUGUGUGUCCUUCAAGAGUGACCAGUCAAUGGGUCGACUUAAUGAAUUUAAGCGAGGACGUGAAUCUGACAGACAGUAAGUAUCAGUCAGUAUUAAACAGUGUUGGCCAAUCAGAGCUAAAUGUUCAUGUCUCCCUCCUCAUGUUGCUCCCUGCUGAUGUUUGUCCUCAUUAAAUCCAGUCUGACCAGU